Molecule: ribosomal RNA, 836 nt
Filed under: Haptophyta environmental samples
Lineage: Eukaryota; Haptophyta
Description: bacterial SSU rRNA
Rfam family: Bacterial small subunit ribosomal RNA
Source: RNAcentral
GAGGAAUAAGCAUCGGCUAACUCCGUGCCAGCAGCCGCGGUAAUACGGGGGAUGCAAGCGUUAUCCGGAAUCAUUGGGCGUAAAGCGCCUGUAGGUUGUUUAAUAAGUCUGUUGUUAAAGACUAGGGCUCAACCCUAGGAAAGCAGUGGAAACUACUAGACUUGAGUAUGAUAGGGGUAGAGGGAAUUUCUAGUGUAGCGGUGAAAUGCGUAGAUAUUAGGAAGAACACCGGUGGCGAAGGCGCUCUACUGGAUCAUUACUGACACUCAGAGGCGAAAGCUAGGGUAGCAAAAGGGAUUAGAUACCCCUGUAGUCCUAGCCGUAAACGAUGGAUACUAGAUGUUGCGUUUAUUAUGCAGUAUCGUAGCUAACGCGUUAAGUAUCCCGCCUGGGGAGUACGCUCUCAAGGGUGAAACUCAAAGGAAUUGACGGGGGCCCGCACAAGCGGUGGAGCAUGUGGUUUAAUUCGAUGCAACGCGAAGAACCUUACCAGGGCUUGACAUACUACAAAUUCUUUUGAGAAAAAGAAGUGCCUUCGGGAAUGUAGAUACAGGUGGUGCAUGGCUGUCGUCAGCUCGUGUCGUGAGAUGUUGGGUUAAGUCCCGCAACGAGCGCAACCCUUAUUUUUAGUUACUAAUUCGUUAGGUUCUCUAGAAAGACUGCCGGUGACAAACCGGAGGAAGGUGAGGAUGACGUCAAGUCAGCAUGCCCCUUAUGCCCUGGGCUACACACGUGCUACAAUGGCUAAGACAAAGAGUCGCGAGCUUGCAAGAGUCAGCUAAUCUCAUAAACUUAGCCUAAGUUCAGAUUGUAGGCUGCAACUCGCCUGCAUGAAG